Long non-coding RNA from Triticum aestivum (bread wheat), 1690 nucleotides. RefSeq lists it as uncharacterized. The transcript is spliced from 7 exons. Lineage: Eukaryota; Viridiplantae; Streptophyta; Magnoliopsida; Poales; Poaceae. The record is from RefSeq and is a predicted model, not a curated record.
UACAUCACAUCCUGUCUCAACCCCGCUAGGUUAUCUGCCGCCACCGCCCGUCCUCGGCUCCACCAUGCCGCUGCCGCCGCCUGUCCCCGCCUCCACCGUGCCGCCGCAGCUGGUCCCCGCCUCCACCGCGCCGCCGCAACUGGCCCCUCCUCCACCCCACCACCGUCGGGGCCCUUGUCCACUGCGCCCCACCAGUCCUCUUCCAAUGGUGUGACCGCCACCGGGCAAUCCUCCCCUGCCCUAGUGCCACGGCUGCCAUUGCCAGCACCGCCGUCGGCUCCCGCCUACCCAUCUGCAGCCGCUGGUGGCCACCGAAGCCGGGCACCAUCUCCCCCUCUGCCCUCAGCCCCCUCUGCCCCACGCCACGGGAUUUUCUCUUCACCUCCAGGAGCACUGUCCGUCCCGUUGCCAUUGCCAUCGUCAUUCGACUACCUCCUCUAUGGUCUAGGGAUGAGUGAAGCAUGGUUGGCCCGCAAAGAAAAAAGCCCUCGCUCCCUCUAGCGAGAUCUUUGCUUGGCAGUUUUAUCGCUGAUCCUCUGCCUUCCUCUCAUCCUCAGGCUCAUCGAGGAAGAGGAAAAGGCCGGGGGAGAGGUGCACGUGGAGAAAAUGCUAAGAGAAACCCUAUUCGGCCUCCCUCGCCACCAUCUGCUGUGGCAUCGCCUGAGGAUGAGAGAGUGGAGGACGAGCCGGUGUCUCACUCCCCCGUGUUUGAGAGGGUGGAGGAUGAGCCGGUGUCUCACUCCCCCGUCUCUGGGAGGGUGGAGGAUGAGCCGGUGUCUCACUCCCCCGUGUCUGAGAGGGUGGAGAAAGAGCGGUUGUCAUCAGAGGCCUCUGACGAGGAGGUCCCGACCUCUGACAAGGAGACCUCGACCUCUAACGAGGAGCAUGUUGGUUUCAUCCAAGUUGAGGAGGGUCGGUCCGUGUACCUACGUGGUUCCUCAAGCCUCCCGGAACGAGGGCUUCCUGUGGAGCAGAGACCAUGUAUUGCUCCAUGUGGAUAAACUGGUUGGAAGAAAGCUGGAGCUAGCAGGGGAAAGUGCUGACACAUGAACGACGUCCUCGGGAGCCGCAUGAAGGAGCAUGACCCUGGCAUGGUUACUUUGCCUGGGAAGGGCAAUGUUCCGGAGCCAGCACGGACCUGGGACCACUACAAAGCCUAUGAGGAUAUUGGUGUAGCCAACAACAUCGAGUUUCACAAGAAAGCCAAGCGGGUUUUUGCCACACUUUGGAUGCGAGGAUGGAAAGUUGGAGGAGGCACGAGCGGUUGUCAAUGGACAUUGCCCGAAGCUUGUGCAUUAUUUGAUGCAUGAGGCGCGCCCUUUAGCCGUCCGCAAAUAUAUGGCAACUCAAGGCUAUAAGAGUCUUGAUAAGAAAGCCGGUUACUCCGAGAUGGUGCGUCGAUAAGGGGGAGUGUUGGGAGCGGAUCGUGGACUAUUGGUGUUCCAAAGAGUAUAGGGCGAAAAACAAAGAUUAUAGAAAUCGGCGAGGUGCAAUGCUGGAUCCACCACAUCAUCAAGGCAACUUGAACAUUAUGGAAUUUGGUGAACAUUGGGCAGGAAACAUGGCAAGGAAGCAAUUGCAGGAGGCAUGUUCCCCAGCUCCUCCCAUAGCUCUCUCCCUGAAUACAAAGCUCGGUUAGGUAUCUCAAAAUCUUCUACAUAUAAAUGCUCGACUCCAGCUAUGGUUGAGA